GCCAGCAUUCAGUUGGGCACUUUAAAGAGACUGCCGGUGUUAAGCCGGAGGAAGGUGGGGAUGACGUCAAGUCCUCAUGGCCUUUAUGCCCAGGGCGUACACACGUGCUACAAUGGGUGGUACAAAGAAGAUGCCAACUCGCGAGAGCGCGCCAAUCUCAGAAAGCCAUCCUCAGUUCGGAUUGGAGUCUGCAACUCGACUCCAUGAAGUUGGAAUCGCUAGUAAUCGCGGAUCAGCACGCCGCGGUGAAUACGUUCCCGGGCCUU
RNAcentral lists this ribosomal RNA (266 nucleotides) under uncultured Smithella sp. RNAcentral describes it as "partial 16S ribosomal RNA". It matches the Rfam family "Bacterial small subunit ribosomal RNA", at positions 1117 to 1382 of the family's 1533-position model. Lineage: Bacteria; Pseudomonadati; Thermodesulfobacteriota; Syntrophia; Syntrophales; Smithellaceae. The record is from RNAcentral.